Molecule: long non-coding RNA, 593 nt
Organism: Melitaea cinxia (Glanville fritillary)
Lineage: Eukaryota; Metazoa; Arthropoda; Insecta; Lepidoptera; Nymphalidae
Exons: 2
Source: RefSeq, a predicted model, not a curated record
UAAUCCUGUUUUACACAUAAAUAUAUACUCAUACAACCUGUUUUAGAUCGCCGAGGAUUCGGACAAGAACGUCGCUUAUGACAACAUUAAUGUAAUAGUAGAGACAGCUAUUAAGUGCCCAACGAUCGAGUUACAGGUGAUCAUUGAGCCUUCAGUUAAUCUUUUAUUUAGCGCCAACAACAAGCGCAAACUAAUUGAAAAAGUAACGACGUUGCUUGGAGAAAACGAUACUAAUUCUAUAAGAAUAAAAAACGUCAACGACAAUCCGUCUACGAUUACUUUGUACAACCUCAAUUUAGGGCCGAAAAUAGAAAUCGACACUAAGGAAUUGCAUAACACAUUUACAGUUGAAGUGAGCGGCGACAAUCUUGAACAAGGGAAUCAGAUUGGCAAAAAAGACGUCAAAAUUACUUCUUUCCGUAUCAUUCCAAUAAGUUCUUGUACCUCUCGUAAAUAACGAAUUAUUUCUAUAUAGGUAUAUAAUACCCACGGAUUGACUCAAAUUCUUUUAAGUAUAACAGUUACACAUAUAUGUUAUUAUUACAAUUGUUACAUAUUUUAAUAAUACUUAAUAAAUCGUAUCUUCAAUAAAA